This 523-nucleotide long non-coding RNA is filed under the name Bos taurus (domestic cattle). Its description in RNAcentral is "long non-coding RNA NONBTAT004920". The record is from RNAcentral. Lineage: Eukaryota; Metazoa; Chordata; Mammalia; Artiodactyla; Bovidae.
CUGUACUAUGAUGCAUUAUUUUCAUCAACUUUCUUUUAUUGCAAAGGCUUUACAGUCGGGGUAGACACCUGUACUCAGUUUGCAAUUUGAUACAAUUUUCAAUAAUCCUUUAUAUGUGAACUAUCUAUAUUUAUGUCAGAUAACAGAGUUAGCUCUCAAUUUAGGCUGAAUGAACUAAGGUUUUAAAUCGUUGCAUUGGAAGAUCCAACUUAAUCAUCCAUAUGCAAAAUUUAAAAUAUAUGUGUUAAAGGAAUUCUAGGUAUGUGACCUUGCAUCUGAAAUCUUUGACAACUUAGUUGACUUUAAGUAACACUAAAUUGUAAGGAAGGAAAAGUACUACAUAAGGAUAUCAUACCAUAACUACAACAGAAGAAUAUAACUCUCGAAAGAUAUAAACCAAUAUUUUAACCUGUAUAUGAAUCCUGCCUAAAACUUGUCCUCCAGGGUUUUUUUGUUUUUUAUCCAGUAAACAUGUAUGCAUUUGGGUAACUGUUUAUUAACAUACUACGAAUGACUACAAUUU